Molecule: microRNA precursor, 84 nt
Filed under: Bombyx mori (domestic silkworm)
Lineage: Eukaryota; Metazoa; Arthropoda; Insecta; Lepidoptera; Bombycidae
Description: mir-2807 microRNA precursor family
Rfam family: mir-2807 microRNA precursor family
Source: Rfam by way of RNAcentral
UUAACUCAAAUUUGUAUGGAGUUGUGACGUUUACCUCCGCUUGCCGCUAGGGGCGCUGAUCUAGCUCCAUACAAAUUCGAGUUA